Molecule: unclassified non-coding RNA, 202 nt
Filed under: uncultured Sebacina
Lineage: Eukaryota; Fungi; Basidiomycota; Agaricomycetes; Sebacinales; Sebacinaceae
Description: sequence contains ITS2
Source: RNAcentral
GUACUCUCACACUCUAAUGCAUUUUGGAGAAGUGGACUUGGGUGUUGCUGCUUUGUGGUGGCUCAUCUUAAAUAGGGUAGUGCAACUCCUGGUUGGAUAUAGUACAGCUUGAUAAGUAUCUUUGCUGGCGCCUCGUGAAGAGGGUGUCCGAUUGGGAGCUCUGUGCUUCAAACGGUCUCGUAAUCUGGGACAAUCUCUGACA